UGGUGGAGUGAUUUGUCUGGUUAAUUCCGUUAACGAACGAGACCACAGCCUGCUAAAUAGUCACGCCUAGCCUUUGCUCACGCGAUGGUUAGGUGGCAGUACUUCUUAGAGGGACUUUUGGCGCCUAGCCAAAGGAAGUUUGUGGCAAUAACA
RNAcentral lists this ribosomal RNA (153 nucleotides) under uncultured eukaryote. RNAcentral describes it as "partial 18S ribosomal RNA". It matches the Rfam family "Eukaryotic small subunit ribosomal RNA", at positions 1299 to 1458 of the family's 1831-position model. The record is from RNAcentral.